UGGGGGAUAUUGCACAAUGGGCGAAAGCCUGAUGCAGCGACGCCGCGUGGGGGAUGAAGGCUUUCGGGUUGUAAACCUCUUUCGCUAUCGAACAAGGCCCGCUUAGGGUGGGUUGAGGGUAGGUGGAGAAGAAGCGCCGGCUAACUACGUGCCAGCAGCCGCGGUAAUACGUAGGGCGCGAGCGUUGUCCGGAAUUCUUGGGCGUAAAGGGCUUGUAGGCGGCUUGUUGCGCCUGCUGUGAAAACGCGGGGCUUAACUUCGCGCGUGCAGUGGGUGCGGGCAAGCUUGAGUGUGGUAGGGGUGACUGGAAUUCCAGGUGUAGCGGUGGGAUGCGCAGAUAUCUGGAGGAACACCGAUGGCGAAGGCAGGUCACUGGGCCAUUACUGACGCUGAGGAGCGAAAGCAUGGGUAGCGAACAGG
RNAcentral lists this ribosomal RNA (420 nucleotides) under bacterium. RNAcentral's name for it is "partial 16S ribosomal RNA". It matches the Rfam family "Bacterial small subunit ribosomal RNA", at positions 355 to 776 of the family's 1533-position model. The record is from RNAcentral.